Molecule: long non-coding RNA, 492 nt
Organism: Halichondria panicea
Lineage: Eukaryota; Metazoa; Porifera; Demospongiae; Suberitida; Halichondriidae
Exons: 3
Source: RefSeq, a predicted model, not a curated record
AGGCUAACAAAAAGCUAGCGCUUUAAUUAAUUAAUUAGUGCAAGGCUAACUCAUAAUUAUGUUGAAUAGAAAGUUUGUGCGGACAGAUGAUGCUAUGAAAGAUUCUGAAGAGACUGCAACAGCCUUCAAUGAUGAUGUUGAAAGUGACACGUGUUGGAGAGAGCAUUAUACUGGACACCCUUGUAUGACUGGACACCCUUGUAUGACCAGACCACUGUAAAGUAUCGACACAAUUGGAGCUGAAAGAAAACGCUGUCCGGUGGUAGCGAUUGUCGGACAAAAACAACGUAAGUUCGGACAGUGCUGAUAUUCUCACCAGUAAGGACUCCUGCGAAAAUGUAAGAACUGAGCACUAUAGCGGAACUCUUUAGCUAGCUGCAGACCAAAAAUGAAGCUCAAGCUCCUAUCAGGCUCUGCACUACACUCAGUUGAACUGGUAAGGUAUCUUGUGAACAGAGCAGAGUGCAUAAUAAAAAUUAGUGUCUUUUUGUA